RNAcentral lists this transfer RNA (74 nucleotides) under Janibacter limosus. RNAcentral describes it as "tRNA-Glu". It matches the Rfam family "tRNA". From Rfam's summary of the family: Transfer RNA (tRNA) molecules are approximately 80 nucleotides in length. Their secondary structure includes four short double-helical elements and three loops (D, anti-codon, and T loops). Lineage: Bacteria; Bacillati; Actinomycetota; Actinomycetes; Micrococcales; Intrasporangiaceae. The record is from RNAcentral.
GGCCCCGUUGUGUAGCGGCCUAGCACGCCGCCCUCUCACGGCGGUAGCGCGGGUUCUGAAUCCCGUCGGGGCUA